GCGGCCGUAGUCUAGUGGUUAGGAUACUACCCUGCCACGGUGGUGGCCCGGGUUCAAAUCCCGGCGGCCGCA
This 72-nucleotide transfer RNA is filed under the name archaeon. RNAcentral's name for it is "tRNA-Gly". It matches the Rfam family "tRNA". From Rfam's summary of the family: Transfer RNA (tRNA) molecules are approximately 80 nucleotides in length. Their secondary structure includes four short double-helical elements and three loops (D, anti-codon, and T loops). The record is from RNAcentral.